GCAGAACUACAAUAAAUUGUAUUAUUAAUAGCACAUCCAAAAUAAUUAAUUAUAUGCGCACAGUCGUUACUUCAAAAAAUUAAUUUUCUAAAUUUUAAUAUAUCGAAAGACAUUUUUACAAUUAUUUAUCAUAUAUCACAUAUUAAACACACUUUUUGCAUUAUUUAAUUAAUUUAUUUUGUCAUGUACUCACCGUUCGAGAUCCGUUCCCUCACAUGGAAAAUGGUAAGUUCGUCCCUCCUCGCUGCAGCCUGCAACACACUUUCUCCAUUUUAAGUUUGAUUUUAGCAUUUCGGCUGUAAAAUAACGUUAAAAAUUAUUAAAUACAUGCAAAUUUAUCUAAUAAAAAUUAAAAUAUACUUACCAGUUCACAAGCUGCGUGCUGUUUUUCUUUCGUUAUUCUUCGUAAUAACGGCCGUUACAAAUGGAGAGUAAAAAUUAAAAAUGUCUCCAUUCCCAUUAUAAUUUUGUGUGAUUUCAAUCUGGCUUUGACAGUUCUGAGUUCAGUAGGUUUUGACGUCUAGCAAUUGCUCUCUCAUUUCCAGUGAGAUACGAGUUGGGCAUCCCAUUAUCCCUGAUGUGCAGUAUGUUUAGGGUCGUUGUUUUUUGGAAAACAUAAAUCUUCCUUUAUCCCCAUUUUUUCCGCACUCUGCAACAAAUUAUUUUUCAAUAAAUUAAGGUAAACCUCUUUGGUCAUUAUUCCAUCGAUUAUAACAAGCACUACGAUGGAUUGCUCUGCGCACUGUAUCUGAUGAUACUGAUAUAUUUUUAGCAAUUUCCAAACUAGUGGCUAUUUUAAGAGCACUUUCAAAUGUAUUCUUUGAUUCUUGACUAUGCCUUUGAUAAAACGUUCAUCACGGUCCAGAAGCAAUUUCGGUCUGCCAGACCUUAGUAAAGUUGAUUUGCUACUUUCCACCAUUUUUUCGAUUUCCGAUAAAGAUUUACCAUCUUUAGAGUUAGAAAUUACAACUUUUCUUUUUUCUGAACUUAAUUCUCUUCUCUUCAUUAUGUUUAAAAUUAUUACAAUUGCAAUUGUCACUUAACUUAAACUAAAGUGAAUGACAGAAAAUUUAUGAUUAAACAGACAAAAUAUGUGGUAUGCAGAGGAAUUUAUUUGAAAGAAGUUCUCUGUUUUGGGAGAAAGUUCUCCAAAAUAUUAAUAGAGUGGACGCGGGAUUCCCUUUUAGUCGGGACGACAUUACCAGAAAAUUUUUAAAUUAUAUGAUAAAGUAUAAGCGGAUUCUAAAACGGAGUAGCACAUAUUCGGAGUUUGAUAGAACUUCGCUAAAGCCAAAAAAACGUGAAGUUUUAAUUUUAUUUUGGAAGGGAAGCCUCUGCGGAUAAAGAAAUGGUAAACAAGUUAUUGAAAGUGUUGGGUUAAUACUGCUGUCUAUGGCUAAUCAAAAUUGUAUUAAUCAGCAAAGGUUAAGCGCAGAGAAGUGUUCAAAAAUGAUCAUGUGCGUUAGGACCACAAGGGCCCCACUUAGAGGGCGUGCAGCAAUAAAUUUAGUUUUAUUAUUUUACACAUUAAGAUAAGAAAUAUGUUAGAAUAUACAGUCCACUAAUCCUAAAUAUGUAUGCUCAAAUAUAUUUAACAGGCAUACAUACAUACAUAAGCAAACACAUAAACAAAUAUACACUCAUAUGAUAACUUGUAGACCUAAGAUAUAUAUUUAGGCAAUUGAUUACAAGUGCACAUGAGCACUUGAAAACAAUCCCAUAACAUGUAGCAUAAACAAUGUGCUACAUACAUACGGACAUACACACACACACAUGUAUUGAGUUGUACUUAAAAACAACCCUAUGUGGUGUGCGUGCCACAUACGCACAUACAUAUGUAUAAAUUUAAUUAGAUAGUAAGAUUUGUAAAUAGUAUAUAAGCGAUGCAUUUAACAAAAUAAAAUUAGAAUGAAUAAGUUCUCAGCUCAAUGAAGUCUAUUUCUGUCCCCCACCAGCGGUAAGGCAAUUAGAAUCUUUAUUGAGUUUAAUAAUUGGUCUUACAAAUCAAUUAUUCAGAAGUACAAAUAAGUAUGUAAACUGUUAUUUAAAUAAACUUUAUUCUAGUUUUAAAUGGAAA
Bactrocera oleae (olive fruit fly) is the source of this 2077-nucleotide long non-coding RNA. RefSeq lists it as uncharacterized. The record is from RefSeq and is a predicted model, not a curated record. NCBI's taxonomy places the organism in Eukaryota, Metazoa, Arthropoda, Insecta, Diptera, Tephritidae.